GUGCCCAAAAUCAGCUCAAU
RNAcentral lists this small nuclear RNA (20 nucleotides) under Arabidopsis thaliana (thale cress). Its description in RNAcentral is "snRNA_17313". Lineage: Eukaryota; Viridiplantae; Streptophyta; Magnoliopsida; Brassicales; Brassicaceae. The record is from RNAcentral.